CCUUAAUGGAGAGUUUGAUCCUGGCUCAGGACGAACGCUGGCGGCGUGCCUAAUACAUGCAAGUCGAGCGGAUUGUUCCUUCGGGAACAGUUAGCGGCGGACGGGUGAGUAACACGUAGGCAACCUGCCUGCAGGAUCGGGAUAACUACCGGAAACGGUAGCUAAGACCGGAUAAG
RNAcentral lists this ribosomal RNA (176 nucleotides) under Paenibacillus sp. 1_12. RNAcentral describes it as "16S rRNA. Bacterial SSU". It matches the Rfam family "Bacterial small subunit ribosomal RNA", at positions 1 to 177 of the family's 1533-position model. The record is from RNAcentral. Lineage: Bacteria; Bacillati; Bacillota; Bacilli; Caryophanales; Paenibacillaceae.